Molecule: ribosomal RNA, 238 nt
Filed under: uncultured bacterium
Lineage: Bacteria
Description: partial 16S ribosomal RNA
Rfam family: Bacterial small subunit ribosomal RNA
Source: RNAcentral
CCGGCACGGGUGAGUAACACGUAUCCAACCUGCCGUCUACUCUUGGCCAGCCUUCUGAAAGGAAGAUUAAUCCAGGAUGGCAUCAUGAGUUCACAUGUCCGCAUGAUUAAAGGUAUUUCCGGUAGACGAUGGGGAUGCGUUCCAUUAGAUAGUAGGCGGGGUAACGGCCCACCUAGUCAACGAUGGAUAGGGGUUCUGAGAGGAAGGUCCCCCACAUUGGAACUGAGACACGGUCCAA